UGGACCUGGGCCUGCGGAGGUGGCACAGGCAUGGCUCCCCUAUGUUGCAGGCCUUGGACGGCUGCGGCCAAGACUUGAACCUGCUGCACCAAGACAUCGAACUAUUCUGGCCGGACUUGGGGAACCGGAGCAACCGAAGACGGCGAGUUUUGGAUGGAGCGUCCAGGACUUGGUGGGAAACGCCGGAAGGUGUUGGAGGCUCCUUUACUUCUCAGCUUCAUGGCCACGACUCGGGCCCUUCCUCUAGCGCCAACUAUUGCUGGAAAUUGGAUCCGGGGGCAGCCGUCAGCUGAGAGGGUGGAGCUCCGGCGGGAACUGGCUGGUGG
This 326-nucleotide long non-coding RNA is filed under the name Phoenix dactylifera (date palm). RNAcentral describes it as "long non-coding RNA (PDAC_LNC011426)". The record is from RNAcentral. Lineage: Eukaryota; Viridiplantae; Streptophyta; Magnoliopsida; Arecales; Arecaceae.